UAGAACACGUGUUGUCAGGGAUUCCCAUGGUGGGUUACUAGCCGUAAUUAUGGUGGAUACGGCGGUGGGUAUGGUGGCAGAAUCGGUGUUGCAUACGGCGGUGGAUACGGUGGUGGAUAUGGUGGUGGGUAUAGUGGUGGAAUAGUCGGUGGAUUAGUCGGCGGAUACGGAUUAGGAGUAAGUAGUGGGUACGGUGGACGAUACGGCGGUGUAUACGGUGGACGAUACGGCGGUGGAUAUGGUGGUGGAUACGGCGGAGGAAAAAAAGGCUAUUAAACUUGACAGAUACCAGAAUUUGACGCAGUAGAAUGAAAACAUCCAUAGAAUGACAUAUGUGUUUUUAAAUAAAUUUGGUUGUACAAAUUUAAA
This is a long non-coding RNA of Mytilus californianus (California mussel), 369 nucleotides long. RefSeq lists it as uncharacterized. Lineage: Eukaryota; Metazoa; Mollusca; Bivalvia; Mytilida; Mytilidae. The transcript is spliced from 2 exons. The record is from RefSeq and is a predicted model, not a curated record.